UCACGUAAAUUAUUAAUAGUCGAACAGACUUCUCACUCAAGCUUCUGCACCUAAGAUACAAUUUAAUUCAACAUCGAGGUCGCAAACCUAAUUAUUAAUAAGAACUUGCUAAUUAAAUAACGCUGUUAUCCCUAGAGUAACUAUAAAAUCCUAAACAUAAUAAUUAAAAAUUUAAAUCUUUAAUAAUUGCCCCAAUUAAAAACUUUUAAAAGUUUUAAGCUUCUAGGGUCUUCUCGUCCCAAAGAUUCAUAAAAGAAUUUUUACUUUUAAUCUAAAUUCAAAAUUAUCUAAUAAAACUCUCCUUUUAGUAUCUACCUUUCAUUCCAGUCCUCAAUUAAAAAA
This 342-nucleotide ribosomal RNA is filed under the name Ayacucho titschacki. Its description in RNAcentral is "partial large subunit ribosomal RNA". The record is from RNAcentral. Lineage: Eukaryota; Metazoa; Arthropoda; Arachnida; Opiliones; Metasarcidae.